This 297-nucleotide ribosomal RNA is filed under the name uncultured Enterobacteriaceae bacterium. RNAcentral describes it as "partial 16S ribosomal RNA". It matches the Rfam family "Bacterial small subunit ribosomal RNA", at positions 1082 to 1382 of the family's 1533-position model. Lineage: Bacteria; Pseudomonadati; Pseudomonadota; Gammaproteobacteria; Enterobacterales; Enterobacteriaceae. The record is from RNAcentral.
AAGUCCGCAACGAGCGCACCCUUAUCCUUGUUGCCAGCGGUCCGGCCGGGAACUCAAAGGAGACUGCCAGUGAUAAACUGGAGGAAGGUGGGGAUGACGUCAAGUCAUCAUGGCCCUUACGACCAGGGCUACACACGUGCUACAAUGGCGCAUACAAAGAGAAGCGACCUCGCGAGAGCAAGCGGACCUCAUAAAGUGCGUCGUAGUCCGGAUUGGAGUCUGCAACUCGACUCCAUGAAGUCGGAAUCGCUAGUAAUCGUGGAUCAGAAUGCCACGGUGAAUACGUUCCCGGGCCUU